GGGGUUUGUCAGUGUAUCAGGGUCCAGCAAUAAAAAACCCCGACUUUCGGGGUUUUUUAUUAUCUAUACUUUUAAGUUAGAUUUUGAGUGUAGAUACAAAUGCUUGGGAUUUAAAUUGGGCUAUAUGCCCUUUUUUU
This 137-nucleotide small RNA is filed under the name Vibrio hippocampi. RNAcentral describes it as "rimP". It matches the Rfam family "Gammaprotebacteria rimP leader". The record is from RNAcentral. Lineage: Bacteria; Pseudomonadati; Pseudomonadota; Gammaproteobacteria; Vibrionales; Vibrionaceae.